RNAcentral lists this ribosomal RNA (942 nucleotides) under Triticum aestivum (bread wheat). RNAcentral's name for it is "partial small subunit ribosomal RNA". Lineage: Eukaryota; Viridiplantae; Streptophyta; Magnoliopsida; Poales; Poaceae. The record is from RNAcentral.
AUGUUUGCUGGUCUCACGCGCCUGUGGCUGCGCAAUAUGAGGUUUGGUGAACUGGACAUCCCCAACAUCCUCAGCGCCUGUAAGAGGUUGGAAUCACUGCGUCUCUCCUAUUGUGACGCAGGGGUCCAAUCUGUGCUUCAAGUAGAACAUGCUCAACUUGUUGAGCUCCACAUCGACUAUGGGGAAUUUGAAGCAGUCCAACUCAGCUGUCUACCAAAACUCCAACGUGUCAAAUAUGUUGGUUGGUCUUACCAAGAAGAUCCCCUGAUUUUUGUUUCUGUCCCGCAGCUUUCAAAGCUAACACUCGAAAAAGAUGGUGUUAGCUCAACUAGUAAUCUCCAGUUAAGUCAGCUCCUUGCUAAUGUACCCUGGAUAAGCGACCUCCAUCUGGAUUUUAGAAGUGAAAAGAUUUGGGUUCUACCUGAAUGCCCCAGACUGCUUGUGCAUGUGCUUGGCAAGCUACAGAUUGUGAAUCUGGACAAUCUUCCGCAAGGAUGUGAUAUCGCUUGGACCAUGUUCAUUCUUGAAGCGGCAAGCUCCCUAAAGGAGCUAUGCGUCACGGUGUGGGAUCAUUUGUGCAAAAUGGAGACAGACGAGGAUGUCCGUAAGGAACUUGGUUACUGUGAGAAAGCAAAUGUGGAGUACCAACCAUCUAUAGUUCAUUUUAAGCACAAGAAUCUGAUUAAGCUCACCGUUUACGGCUUCCAACCUGAGGACAACUUUGUGCGAUACGUUAGGCGUGUCAUGGAGAUUGCAGUGAACCUGAAGGAGAUAUCUCUGUAUGACUGGCAGGUCUGUAAGCGCUGCAGGGACUUGGAUCCCAGUAUCAAGGUCUGUCCUUCUCGGUAUCCACGGACCAGUGAGCAGAAGGAUAUGUUGAGGGUGGAGAUUACUAAGGAGUUGGUCAUGGCUUCGCCUGCUGUGAUUCACUUCAGGUCCUAA